AGCUUGCGGCCGUGAUUUUUGCACUAAAGAUUUGGCGACACUAUUUGUAUGGCGAUAAAUGUGAGAUAUUUACUGAUCACAAAAGUCUGAAGUAUAUUUUUACCCAGAGGGAGCUUAACAUGAGGCAGAGGCGAUGGAUUGAGCUAUUGAAGGAUUAUGAUGUGAGUAUUCAGUAUCAUCCGGGGAAAGCUAAUAAGGUAGCAGAUGCCUUGAGUCGGAAGAACUUUGGGAAUUUGGCAGCAUUGAUGACACAACAGAGACCUCUUCAACGCGAUAUUGAGAAGUUUGGCUUGGAGUUUUAUCAUCAUGAUGUUGUUGGUAUGGUGGCAAGUAUGCACGUGGAGCCUAGUCUUAUCUCGAGGAUUAAGGCAGCUCAGGAUGGUGAUGGAGAGUUGUGGUACCUUAUACAGAGCAUGGAAGCUGGAAAGCAACCCGAACUUCGCAUUGAUGAUCAGGGUAUUGUUUGGAUGGGUAACCGAUUAUGUGUGCCCGAUAACAAGAGCCUAGUCUUAUCUCGAGGAUUAAGGCAGCUCAGGAUGGUGAUGGAGGGUUGUGGUACCUUAUACAGAGCAUGGAAGCUGGAAAGCAACCCGAACUUCGCAUUGAUGAUCAGGGUAUUGUUUGGAUGGGUAACCGAUUAUGUGUGCCCGAUAACAAGGAACUUAGGGAGGAAGUGAUGGAGGAAGCUCAUCGGUCACCAUUUUCAAUUCAUCCAGGUGGAACAAAGAUGUAUCAUGACUUAAAGGAACAUUUUUGGUGGAUUGGUAUGAAACGUGAUAUAGCCGAGUUUGUUUCAAAGUGUUUGACUUGUCAGCAGGUGAAGAUAGAGCAUCAGAG
This 837-nucleotide long non-coding RNA is filed under the name Daucus carota (carrot). RNAcentral's name for it is "long non-coding RNA (DCAR_LNC005285)". Lineage: Eukaryota; Viridiplantae; Streptophyta; Magnoliopsida; Apiales; Apiaceae. The record is from RNAcentral.